GUUUGACACGGUUCUGUUCUUUUAAUGCAUUUUUGAUUUUUUUUUUUUUGUUUUUAUUAAUAACCUCUUUACUAGACCCUCCAAUGGAGGUGGUCUUAUUUCCUUUUCUUGAAAUAAUUUUAUAACGGUCAUUUAAUUUAAUGAUGUAUUUCCUUUUUCGUGUUCAUUAUUUCCUUUUUUUUUACUGUACCGGUUAGGACUUGGGUGACUCUACCGGUGGUUUAACCAAAUUAAUUUUGUUAUCGGUUUAACGUUUUUUUUUGGUCGGCUGAUUGAACGUGGUUUAUGGUUUUCUCAAUCAACUUGCCAACAACGACAAAAAAAUAUAACGAAGAGGAGGAACCCCAUAUCUAAGUUGUAGUCUUUAAAAAUAUCUUGAAUAGUCCAAGAACAAGAGAUCCCAUAUUGCACGAUGUCGGAGCAUGUUUAUCGGAGCUUCUUAGGUUAGGAUUUUUAGCGAAAUAUAAGAAACCGUCUCUUAUAUAAGAUAUUUAAGAGCUGGUUCUUAAUUUUUUUAGUUAAAAGUUAAGAGACGGUUCUCAUAUUCCGUUAAGAACUCCAACCUAAGAA
RNAcentral lists this long non-coding RNA (570 nucleotides) under Brassica napus (rape). RNAcentral's name for it is "long non-coding RNA (BNAP_LNC016248)". Lineage: Eukaryota; Viridiplantae; Streptophyta; Magnoliopsida; Brassicales; Brassicaceae. The record is from RNAcentral.